RNAcentral lists this ribosomal RNA (251 nucleotides) under uncultured bacterium. RNAcentral describes it as "partial 16S ribosomal RNA". It matches the Rfam family "Bacterial small subunit ribosomal RNA", at positions 524 to 775 of the family's 1533-position model. The record is from RNAcentral.
UACGAAGGGGGCUAGCGUUGCUCGGAAUCACUGGGCGUAAAGCGCACGUAGGCGGCUUUUUAAGUCAGGGGUGAAAUCCUGGAGCUCAACUCCAGAACUGCCUUUGAUACUGAGAGCUUGAGUCCGGGAGAGGUGAGUGGAACUGCGAGUGUAGAGGUGAAAUUCGUAGAUAUUCGCAAGAACACCAGUGGCGAAGGCGGCUCACUGGCCCGAUACUGACGCUGAGGCACGAAAGCGUGGGGAGCAACAGG